Nicotiana tabacum (common tobacco) is the source of this 1023-nucleotide non-coding RNA. The record is from RefSeq and is a predicted model, not a curated record. NCBI's taxonomy places the organism in Eukaryota, Viridiplantae, Streptophyta, Magnoliopsida, Solanales, Solanaceae.
AUUAACUCUUCUCUCCAAACAUCAAUACCCACCAAACCUCUCUAAAGACUCCAUCGAUAUCCCCAAAGCUUGUCUUCUUUGCCAUACCCUAAGAGAAAGUACCCAAAUCUGAAAAUUGGAUUUGAGAUCUGAAAAUUUCCCUCGUAUAAACAUUGGAUGGUUUUAUAGUGCUUGCAAUUGAGCAUUUGCAAAAAUGAAGUAAACGAAAUGUCAGACCUAUUAGCCCAAAUUAUCAAGUAUUGCUAACCUCGUCCCUCUGCUGCUUUGAUUCCCAAAUUGCAUUUUGACUUCUCGAUUGCUUGAAGGAUUAGCUGAACCCAAAACGAAAGCUCGACUACUCAACUGCUUGAAGCCAAAAAUUGGGAAAAGAUGAAAGGCAAAAUUUACAACUGGGAAUAACAAUACAAAUAGCAGAUUUGUCGAACUGCAGAAUUCUUCGUUUACUGGUAGUGCAGGAAGAAAUUAUUAUUGGUAGCUGAAGAGAAAUUGUUGCUGGAUUUUCAUGGAUAAUGUAGAUAAAAGUUGGAUGCAUCUCCUAAGAUGGACGGAUGAGUACAUCCGUGGAGUGAAUGUGUCACGACCCCAACCUCGGUCGUGAUGGCGCCCAACACACUGCUAGGCAAGCCUGACCAACUAACAACCUCGACCCAUUUCUUAUACAAUUCAUUAUUAGCUAACACAGUUAAAUUGCCAAUUUAUCAUAAUAAAAGUUUAGGACAAUGAGUCAAAUAUGAGGAAAUUCAAAUGAUAAUGCCACUACAUAACCCAUACAGAUCUGGUGUCACAAGUCUCGAGCCUCUAGCACAAGCUUAACAGCCUAAUACAUAAUCAGGUUAGGAAAUGCGGAUAAAACGAAAGGAUAGAAGGGAGAGAUCCUAGCUACGGACGCCGUGCAGCUACCUCGAUGCUCCCUGAUAUAAACUGAUCGAUUGAAUAUACUCUCUCAGCCUCUAGAACACCUGGAUCUGCACGCAAGGUGCAGGGAGUAAUGUGAGUACUCCGACCCAGUGAGUAAUAAGCAUA